This 440-nucleotide ribosomal RNA is filed under the name uncultured bacterium. Its description in RNAcentral is "partial 16S ribosomal RNA". It matches the Rfam family "Bacterial small subunit ribosomal RNA", at positions 338 to 795 of the family's 1533-position model. The record is from RNAcentral.
CCUACGGGGUGCAGCAGUGGGGAAUAUUGCACAAUGGGGGAAACCCUGAUGCAGCGACGCCGCGUGAGUGAAGAAGUAUUUCGGUAUGUAAAGCUCUGUCAGCAGGGAAGAAAAUGACGGUACCUGACCAAGAAGCCCCGGCUAACUACGUGCCAGCAGCCGCGGUAAUACGGAGGGGGCAAGCGUUAUCCGGAUUUACUGGGUGUAAAGGGAGCGUAGACGGGAGGGCAAGUCUGGAGUGAAAGGCGGGGGCUCAACCCCCGGACUGCUGUGGAAACUGCCAGGCUGGAGUGCAGGAGAGGUAAGUGGAAUUCGUGGUGUAGCGGUGAAAUGCGUAGAUAUUAGGAGGAACACCAGUGGCGAAGGCGGCUUACUGGACUGUAACUGACGUUGAGGCUCGAAAGCGUGGGGAGCAAACAGGAUUAGAUACCCGGGUAUUC